This 1010-nucleotide long non-coding RNA is filed under the name Bos taurus (domestic cattle). RNAcentral describes it as "long non-coding RNA NONBTAT009723". The record is from RNAcentral. Lineage: Eukaryota; Metazoa; Chordata; Mammalia; Artiodactyla; Bovidae.
GUAGCCACUUUAAAGCAAAAUUCCUUUUCUGAUUUGUUAGAAUUUAAUUGGAGGAGAGAGAGGUUGGGUGGAGCUUAGCGUAUCUCCCACACAAGAUAUACACAUCUUUGACAAAUAUCUUUAUUUUCUUUUUCUGUCUGAUUAUAGUUUCUUUGUUAAUGAUAACAUCUAUUUUAGAAUAGUAGCUUAAGACCUUGUAAAUAUUUUUAAAAAGCAAAAUUUCUGCCAAGAAACAUUACAGUUGCUUUUUGACAUAUUUUUUCAAGAGUUUAGUUUUAGUAGAAUUUGUGAUAGCUUAAAAUAAUCUGCUAUUCUGAUUCACAAGGAAUCUUUCUAAACCCUGAACAAAGAACUGUACUUGAGCAUAGUUCUUAUCAUGAUGUCUUGGUCAGUAUUAAGGAUACAUCAGGAUAUCUUAACCAUAAUGUCCAUUAGUAGAAUUAGCUUUUAUGUUGUAUCAGUGAUAUAUCAGAUUUUUAUUGUAUGUAUAUAGUUAUUAUAAUGCAUUAUUUGAUCUCUAAAAGAUAGAUUUUAAUUACUUUGUUUCAUAGAAAGAUGUCUAUGAUGAAGUAAACUUGCUUUGAUUUACUGUAUUCUAAAUCUUUUAAGUUUUUUUUUCUUUUUAAGAUUGUUUUUCUUCCUUAUUUGAUAUCUUACUUUAAUGCAAUACAGCUAUACUUUUGACAGCUAGCUUGACUCAGUUUAAGGAUUGGUUCUGAAUAUUGGAGAUGGUAUUAGAAAAGGUACUAUUAAUUUUUUUGAGAUUUUUUAAAUUAAUUUCUUCAUUAACAAUUCUUAAAUUAUAGCUUACCUCUUUUUAUAAUUGCUAGUUCUAAAAUAUUGUUACAUCUUGUCUGAAAGAAUUUCUUUUGAAUAAAGAUAUAAAAGCAUAAGCUGUAAGCCAUGUUAAAUUCUCUACAAAUACUUUUUAGGGUAGUGUACUGCUUUGUCAUAGUGAAAAGAAGGAGAUACAGUUAAUUAAUAAAAGUAAUUUUGGUUUGCUUUGGGCA